UACGAAGGGGGCUAGCGUUGCUCGGAAUCACUGGGCGUAAAGCGCACGUAGGCGGCUUUCUAAGUCAGGGGUGAAAUCCUGGAGCUCAACUCCAGAACUGCCUUUGAUACUGGAGAGCUUGAGUCCGGAAGAGGUGAGUGGAACUCCGAGUGUAGAGGUGAAAUUCGUAGAUAUUCGGAAGAACACCAGUGGCGAAGGCGGGUCUCUGGACAGUUCCUGACGCUGAGGCACGAAGGUCAGGGGAGCAAACGGG
Molecule: ribosomal RNA, 253 nt
Filed under: uncultured bacterium
Lineage: Bacteria
Description: partial 16S ribosomal RNA
Rfam family: Bacterial small subunit ribosomal RNA
Source: RNAcentral